GUGAGCAAGGCCCCCUGGCGACGCUGGAGCACUUUGAGGGUCUGUACCGCAUCAAUCUGCUUCCUCCGGUACAGACAGGCCAGUGGAAAGUUCAUGCAAAGAGCGACGGACAACUCACUUUCAAUGUAAUAGGUGACAGCAGUGUGGAUUUCCUGUACUAUUUUGCUGUUAUAACCAAUGAAACACACCCAGGUCUGGCCAGAGUGGAGGGCAGCCCAGUAGCAGGUGAGGGAUCCAUAAAAAGUUAAUCUUGUCUGUCAACAAUCAGUCUCACACCAGGAGCGUGCGUUACCUUCCCAGGCGUUCCCGCCUUGCUGGUGCUGGCUGUAACAGGCCUGGCGCUGAAGGACGACGCGUCUUUCAGUCACGUGACGCUGCUAGGAGCUCAAGGGGAGAGCCUUCAGCAGGUGAAGUUGGUCUCCCCCUCCCCCUCUUCACCUUCAUCCUACUCUGUAGACGAGCUGGUGGGACAGGUGGAGUCCGUCCCCAGCGUCCCCUUCUGUGUACAACUGACAGGCCAAGACAGCCGAGGAAACAAGCUGGAGAGGGUUUCCACAGAGAUGGUGCAGCCCACUCGUGUUCAGAUACAGGUGUUGUCUGUCCCUCGUCUGGUACCUGGCCACAGCACAGUGGUGGACUUCGACAUCCUGAACCACGGGCCGGGCCGACUCUUCAAUCUGAGCGUUGACGACGACUGUGGAUAUCUUGAUAAAAAAGGACCUCACAGGUUCCAUGUUGCUGAACAAGGGUCUUUCCGUGACCAGGUGAACCUCCGCACUCCGGCCACAGCUCAGGCCGGAGCCACCGUCACUCUGACACUCUCUGUUCGUGCUCUUGACUCUGCAGACUCAAAUUACGCCGUUGCCUACUUGACUGUUGUUCCCCCGGAUCCUGACACGUCCCCACCGUCCUGCUCUGCUGCAGGUGAGCGGCCCAUCUGUCCCUCCACGUGCACGCAGGCGAGCUGGAGUGUUUCUGUAGUCGUGGCAGACAGAGGGCCCUUUGGCCUUGCUGCUGUCCAGCUGCAGAAGGGUGAAGGCAGUCUGACUUUAUUCCUCAGCCCCCCACCAAAAGAGGAGAUCACGGGAAGCGCUCAGCCCGGCACCGACCAACAUCAGGCACACAGGGACCAGACAGGCAGUGGAGUCUUCCGCCGCCAUCACCACCACAAGGCCAGAUUAGAGAAGGGGGACCCCCCUUUGAAUGUGUCUGAAUGGGGCCUGGGCUCUCAGCCGCUGUGGGUCAGAUACACAUCCAGCUGCUGCUCUGCUCAGGCAGAGCUUCUGGUGUGGGACACGGGUGGAAACAUGAAGCGCUGCCAUCUAACACCUGAUCAGCAAAGGCAGCUAAAAGACAGGGAGACAGAAGCCAGCGGAGUCGGACGGAUCAACCUCACCUUCCUGCUUUUAAACCUGCUGUGGUGUCAUCUGCUUUAGCUCGCUCUGAUUGAUCACUCAAUCUCCAGUUUUCCAGACACGGAGAUAAUCAAAGAGGAAUUAAAGAUCGCUCUUUUCUUU
RNAcentral lists this long non-coding RNA (1517 nucleotides) under Echeneis naucrates (live sharksucker). Its description in RNAcentral is "lncRNA (ENSENLG00000011581.1)". Lineage: Eukaryota; Metazoa; Chordata; Actinopteri; Carangiformes; Echeneidae. The record is from RNAcentral.